GCAUACGGUGGAUGCCUUGGCAGUCAGAGGCGAUGAAAGACGUGGAAGCCUGCGAUAAGGUUCGGGGAGCUGGCAAACAAGCUGUGAUCCGGGCAUUUCUGAAUGGGGAAACCCACCGACUUUCGGGUCGGUAUCUUGCACUGAAUACAUAGGUGUAAGAGGCGAACCGGGGGAACUGAAACAUCUAAGUACCCCGAGGAAAAGAAAUCAACCGAGAUUCCCUUAGUAGUGGCGAGCGAACGGG
Molecule: ribosomal RNA, 244 nt
Filed under: Skeletonema grethae
Lineage: Eukaryota; Bacillariophyta; Thalassiosirophyceae; Thalassiosirales; Thalassiosiraceae
Description: partial Bacterial large subunit ribosomal RNA
Rfam family: Bacterial large subunit ribosomal RNA
Source: RNAcentral